GAGUUUGAUCGUGGCUCAGGACGAACGCUGGCGGCGUGCUUAACACAUGCAAGUCGAACGGUGAUCUCGGGGCUUGCUCCGGGUGAUCAGUGGCGAACGGGUGAGUAACACGUGAGCAACCUGCCCUUGACUCUGGGAUAACUCCGGGAAACCGGUGCUAAUACUGGAUAUGACCUCCGCGCGCAUGUGUGGGGGUGGAAAGACUUUGUCGGUCAGGGAUGGGCUCGCGGCCUAUCAGCUUGUUGGUGGGGUGAUGGCCUACCAAGGCGACGACGGGUAGCCGGCCUGAGAGGGCGACCGGCCACACUGGGACUGAGACACGGCCCAGACUCCUACGGGAGGCAGCAGUGGGGAAUAUUGCUCAAUGGGCGCAAGCCUGAAGCAGCGACGCCGCGUGAGGGAUGAAGGCCUUCGGUUGUAACCUACUUCAGCGCCGAAGAAGCGAGAGUGACGGUAGGCGCAGAAGAAG
This 469-nucleotide ribosomal RNA is filed under the name uncultured Actinomycetes bacterium. Its description in RNAcentral is "bacterial SSU rRNA". It matches the Rfam family "Bacterial small subunit ribosomal RNA", at positions 9 to 490 of the family's 1533-position model. The record is from RNAcentral. Lineage: Bacteria; Bacillati; Actinomycetota; Actinomycetes.